UGUGCAAGGUUAGGACCUGUGCGCACGUCCUGUCGCUCGCAGGCGAACCGUCAACACGUCACUUCAUGCACGGACUGCCACCGCAUACUGUGCGCACGUCGUUCAUGUAGUAGGCCUAUGCCAACAUGCCCUGUGCACGCAGCAACAGGCCUGUGCGCUUACAAGCUAGCUUGCAGCGUGCUGGCCAAGCACUGCCACCUCGAGUAGUGCAUCGUUGUUGCAUUGGCUAGUGCAUUGCCGCCACCGGUGGAGGAAAUUUUCGUCUCUCAUUUUUCAUGCCAAGAAUCUUUUUCU
RNAcentral lists this long non-coding RNA (294 nucleotides) under Carica papaya (papaya). RNAcentral's name for it is "long non-coding RNA (CPAP_LNC003118)". Lineage: Eukaryota; Viridiplantae; Streptophyta; Magnoliopsida; Brassicales; Caricaceae. The record is from RNAcentral.